UACGGGGGGGGCAAGCGUUGUUCGGAAUUACUGGGCGUAAAGGGCUCGUAGGUGGCCAACUAAGUCAGACGUGAAAUCCCUCGGCUUAACCGGGGAACUGCGUCUGAUACUGGAUGGCUUGAGUUCGGGAGAGGGAUGCGGAAUUCCAGGUGUAGCGGUGAAAUGCGUAGAUAUCUGGAGGAACACCGGUGGCGAAGGCGGCAUCCUGGACCGACACUGACGCUGAGGUGCGAAAGCGUGGGGAGCAAACAGG
Molecule: ribosomal RNA, 253 nt
Filed under: uncultured bacterium
Lineage: Bacteria
Description: partial 16S ribosomal RNA
Rfam family: Bacterial small subunit ribosomal RNA
Source: RNAcentral